GGAAUAAUAUAUUCAUGACAAGAAUAAUUCAAAUUAAAUAAUAACAUGUAACUUGGUUUCUUAUGAGUAAUAAUGAGGUGUGAGAAAACUUAACCUCAGAAGUUCAGGACAUGUUUAAUUCUGUUUCUCUUUUGAAAAUUGUUUUAAAAAAUAAAUUUUCAAAACCAAGAACACAAAACAGAACCACCAAAGAAGAAGUUUGUUUG
This 206-nucleotide long non-coding RNA is filed under the name Vitis vinifera (wine grape). RNAcentral describes it as "long non-coding RNA (VVIN_LNC007710)". Lineage: Eukaryota; Viridiplantae; Streptophyta; Magnoliopsida; Vitales; Vitaceae. The record is from RNAcentral.